Molecule: ribosomal RNA, 497 nt
Filed under: uncultured bacterium
Lineage: Bacteria
Description: partial 16S ribosomal RNA
Rfam family: Bacterial small subunit ribosomal RNA
Source: RNAcentral
GAUGAACGCUGGCGGCGUGCCUAAUACAUGCAAGUCGAGCGAACGGACGAGAAGCUUGCUUCUCUGAUGUUAGCGGCGGACGGGUGAGUAACACGUGGAUAACCUACCUAUAAGACUGGGAUAACUUCGGGAAACCGGAGCUAAUACCGGAUAAUAUUUUGAACCGCAUGGUUCAAUAGUGAAAGACGGUCUUGCUGUCACUAAUAGAUGGAUCCGCGCUGCAUUAGCUAGUUGGUAAGGUAAAGGCUUACCAAGGGAACGAUGCAUAGCCGACCUGAGAGGCUGGUCGGCCACCCUGGAGCUGGGACGCGGUCCAGACUCCUACGAGAGGCACCAGUAUCGUAUCUUCCGCAUUGGUCGAGAGCCUUACGGAACGACGCCGAGUCAGUGAUGGAGGCCUUCGGUGCGUAAUGCUGUGUUAUUAGGGGAGAACAGAUGUGUAAGUAACUGUACACAGCUUGACGGUACCUAAUCAGAAAGCCCCGGCUAACUACGUG